AUGGGGUGAUGAUGCAGAAGAAUUUCGGCCAGAGAGAUGGCUGGACGAAAAUGGCCUUGUCCAGCAAGAAAGCUCUUUCAAACACAUAGUCUUCAGUGCAGGUCCAAGGAUUUGUGUGGGGAAGGAGUUUGCUUAUAGAGAGAUGAUGAU
Non-coding RNA from Prunus avium (sweet cherry), 150 nucleotides. The record is from RefSeq and is a predicted model, not a curated record. Lineage: Eukaryota; Viridiplantae; Streptophyta; Magnoliopsida; Rosales; Rosaceae.